Molecule: ribosomal RNA, 540 nt
Filed under: Bacillus subtilis
Lineage: Bacteria; Bacillati; Bacillota; Bacilli; Caryophanales; Bacillaceae
Description: bacterial SSU rRNA
Rfam family: Bacterial small subunit ribosomal RNA
Source: RNAcentral
GGGCGUCUAUAAUGCAAGUCGAGCGAAUGGAUUAAGAGCUUGCUCUUAUGAAGUUAGCGGCGGACGGGUGAGUAACACGUGGGUAACCUGCCCAUAAGACUGGGAUAACUCCGGGAAACCGGGGCUAAUACCGGAUAACAUUUUGAACCGCAUGGUUCGAAAUUGAAAGGCGGCUUCGGCUGUCACUUAUGGAUGGACCCGCGUCGCAUUAGCUAGUUGGUGAGGUAACGGCUCACCAAGGCAACGAUGCGUAGCCGACCUGAGAGGGUGAUCGGCCACACUGGGACUGAGACACGGCCCAGACUCCUACGGGAGGCAGCAGUAGGGAAUCUUCCGCAAUGGACGAAAGUCUGACGGAGCAACGCCGCGUGAGUGAUGAAGGCUUUCGGGUCGUAAAACUCUGUUGUUAGGGAAGAACAAGUGCUAGUUGAAUAAGCUGGCACCUUGACGGUACCUAACCAGAAAGCCACGGCUAACUACGUGCCAGCAGCCGCGGUAAUACGUAGGUGGCAAGCGUUAUCCGGAAUUAUUGGGCGUAAA